This 433-nucleotide ribosomal RNA is filed under the name uncultured bacterium. Its description in RNAcentral is "partial 16S ribosomal RNA". It matches the Rfam family "Bacterial small subunit ribosomal RNA", at positions 29 to 507 of the family's 1533-position model. The record is from RNAcentral.
AACGAACGCUGGCGGCAUGCCUAACACAUGCAAGUCGAACGAAGGCUUCGGCCUUAGUGGCGCACGGGUGCGUAACGCGUGGGAAUCUGCCCUUUGCUUCGGAAUAACAGUUAGAAAUGACUGCUAAUACCGGAUGAUGUCGCAAGACCAAAGAUUUAUCGGCAAAGGAUGAGCCCGCGUAGGAUUAGCUAGUUGGUGGGGUAAAGGCCUACCAAGGCGACGAUCCUUAGCUGGUCUGAGAGGAUGAUCAGCCACACUGGGACUGAGACACGGCCCAGACUCGUACGGGAGGCAGCAGUGGGGAAUAUUAGACAAUGGGCGAAAGCCUGAUACAGCAAUGCCGCGUGAGUGAUGAAGGCCUUAGGGUUGUAAAGCUCUUUUACCCGGGAUGAUAAUGACAGUACCGGGAGAAUAAGCUCCGGCUAACUCCGUG